This is a ribosomal RNA of 434 nucleotides. It matches the Rfam family "Bacterial small subunit ribosomal RNA", at positions 341 to 792 of the family's 1533-position model.
ACGGAAGGCAGCAGUGAGGAAUAUUAGGCAAUGGAGGAAACUCUGACCUAGCGACGCCGCGUGAAGGAAGAAGGUUUUCGGAUUGUAAACUUCUUUUAUGAGGGACGAUAAUGACGGUACCUCAUGAAUAAGCCACGGCUAACUACGUGCCAGCAGCCGCGGUAAUACGUAGGUGGCAAGCGUUGUCCGGAUUUACUGGGUGUAAAGGGCGAGUAGGCGGGCUUGCAAGUCAGAUGUGAAAUACCGGAGCUCAACUCCGGGGCUGCAUUUGAAACUGUGAGUCUUGAGUGAUGGAGAGGCAGACGGAAUUCCCAGUGUAGCGGUAAAAUGCAUAGAGAUUGGGAAGAACACCAGUGGCGAAGGCGGUCUGCUGGACAUUAACUGACGCUGAGGAGCGAAAGUGUGGGGAGCAAACAGGAUUAGAUACCCUGGUA